CAGACUUCAGAGGUCUCACUGAAGUGUAUUAAUGUUUAGAUUUUAUCUUUAAAAUGCAUGGCUGUGAGCAAUCAAAUAAUAUAAUAAAAUAUAAUAACCCAUUUAGUUUCUACCAGUUUAUGUCUCGUGGCUCGCGCUGGGAGGUCCAAACUGGUCCACGCAGUGCGGUUAAAACCCGCCCGCUCCACGCUGUCCAGUGGCUUGCGCAGGGAUUUUGUCCGCGCUACGCGGUUCUUCUGUCGAACUCGGUUUGGAUCAACUUUUGAGUUGUUUGGCUUCCCAUAGUUAAGAAUCUCAAAUUGCGGUCAUAUACUGCUUAAAACUCCAGCACUCUAUAAUAAAACAUCCCCACGGAGCCCUGUAUCCCUGAUUGUUUUUUUUCCAGAGAAAAAUGGAACGAAAACGUUUCGUAAUAUAUAGGAUUGUAGGUUUACUGUGGGAAGAUGGAAGGUCUUCAUUAUGAUUAAUCCAGAUUUUUUUAUUAUUUCCUGAAGCUCUUCUCUGAGUUAAUGCAGUCUUUUCUCUCUGCUGUGUGGGACUGCCUCAUAUUGUCAUGCAUUAUAUAACGGGUGCCCACUGCCUUGGUCUUGUCAUCAUGGAGGCGUGAGUUGUGGAAAUUACCACGAAGGCAGGGAGUAAGCUCUUUCAGUUUCAUUUUCCUUUAUUUUUACUUUCCCAUAAAUUAUUCUAAGCCUGUGGUCACCCACCCUGGAUCUCAAGCCUGGAAAUCAGCUUUCCUUUCAAGUUCAGACACCUCAGAAGACGUGUACUAACUAACAAGCACAAGCUUUCCAUGCUUUACAAUGUGUCACAACUUUGUGCAGGGUGUUUUCUGGAGUCUAAUGAUAGACAGCGUAGCUUAAAAUAGAUUAAAUGAAAUAUUUCUAAAAUCAUGUUUAAGAAAGACAGCAUACUGUAAAGGAACAACUGAAAUCGGAGUUAAUCUACUGCCAGUGAAUCAUGAUAACCGGUGAUAUAGGCAUAUGUGGUAUGCUACUGAUUUUGCCUAGUGCAGUAUUUUGAAUGCACAUAUCGGCGACGCUAUAUAGACUAACGAAUGUGACAGCAGGAGCAUGACCCUUUUAUCACAAUUAGCACCGUUUGACACUGUAAUAUACAGUUGUGAAAGGGAAAUGACUCAUAAUCUGUUAUCACCCAGAAGAAAAUGGGUUUCUACUUUCAUGUUGAUACUGGUUUCUCUAAAGCUUUCUUACUAAUGUUUACUCAGGAAGUUUUCCCUUACCAAGGUUACCUCUGGCUUGCUCAUUUGGGAUCUAAAACUAUAUCCAUAUUUCUGUAAAGUUGCUUUGUGAUAAUGUGCACUGUUAAAAGCUGUAUGUAAAUAAAAUAUUUAAAAAAUCACUCAUCCAUUUACCCCGCUUUGUGCCCGACGCUCCCUGGGAUUGGCUCCAGGUUCCCCCGCGACCCUGAAGAAGGAG
Ictalurus punctatus (channel catfish) is the source of this 1439-nucleotide long non-coding RNA. NCBI's taxonomy places the organism in Eukaryota, Metazoa, Chordata, Actinopteri, Siluriformes, Ictaluridae. The record is from Ensembl.